This is a non-coding RNA of Triticum aestivum (bread wheat), 138 nucleotides long. The record is from Rfam. Lineage: Eukaryota; Viridiplantae; Streptophyta; Magnoliopsida; Poales; Poaceae.
UGCCUACUAGCCCUCCCGUUUGAAAAUACUUAUCAUCAAAAUGGAUAAAAAUGGAUGUAUGUAGAACUAAAAUAUAUCUAGAUACAUCUUCUUUUAUUCAUUUUGAUGACAAGUAUUUUCGGACCGAGGGAGUAGUAG